GGGGAUGACUUGGUUUCGACUGGAGUAGUCGGAGUUAUGUGCAUGUCGGACUGGGCAACUCCGUUACACGGCUCAAACGCGAAUAAACGCAAACAAUACAGAUUACCGUCCAGCUUACGCAGUAGCGUAAGUAUAACCCCGCUCUGCGGAGGACUGCCUCGCUGAUGAGUGUCAUCUUAAUCAGACUUUGAGGUAUCACAUCUGAUGACUAUGCUCUAUGGAAGCUAUGCCAUAGUGUGAGAAUCCUAGCUGGUCUUGUGUAGCCUUGGGUGUUGUGCAAAGCAAGAUGAGAUUUAACAUCACCGACUAAACAUGUAGAGUCAUAACACUAGCUAUUUUAGGACAGGGGUUCAAUUCCCCUCGUCUCCACCA
Molecule: transfer-messenger RNA, 372 nt
Filed under: Sulfurovum sp. bin170
Lineage: Bacteria; Pseudomonadati; Campylobacterota; Epsilonproteobacteria; Campylobacterales; Sulfurovaceae
Also listed under: 1 other name
Rfam family: transfer-messenger RNA
About the family: Bacterial tmRNA, also known as 10Sa RNA or SsrA, is named for its dual tRNA and mRNA-like properties.
Source: Rfam by way of RNAcentral